CCUACGGGAGGCAGCAGUGAGGAAUAUUGGUCAAUGGGCUUACGCCUGAACCAGCCAAGUCGCGUGAGGGAAGACUGCCCUAUGGGUUGUAAACCUCUUUUGUCAGGGAGCAAUUGGCGCUACGUGUAGCGUUAUCAAGAGUCCCUGAAGAAAAAGCAUCGGCUAACUCCGUCCCAGCAGCCGCGGUAAUACGGAGGAUGCGAGCGUUAUCCGGUUUUAUUGGGUUAAAAGGGUGCGUAGGCGGAAUGCCAAGUCAGCGGUAAAAUCGCGGGGCUAACCCGCGCUCCGCCGUUGAAACUGGCGUUCUAGAGUGGGCGAGAAGUAUGCGGAAUGCGUGGUGUAGCGGUGAAAUGCAUAGAUA
Molecule: ribosomal RNA, 361 nt
Filed under: uncultured bacterium
Lineage: Bacteria
Description: partial 16S ribosomal RNA
Rfam family: Bacterial small subunit ribosomal RNA
Source: RNAcentral